CCUACGGGAGGCAGCAGUAGGGAAUUUUCGUCAAUGGGCGCAAGCCUGAACGAGCAAUGCCGCGUGAACGAGGAAGGUCUUCGGAUCGUAAAGUUCUGUUGAAGGGGAAAAAGAGCGGAGAGAGGAAAUGGUCUCCGAUUGAUAUUACCCUUCGAGGAAGUCACGGCUAACUACGUGCCAGCAGCCGCGGUAAUACGUAGGUGGCGAGCGUUAUCCGGAAUGAUUGGGCGUAAAGGGUGCGUAGGCGGCCUGCUAAGUCUGGGGUGAAAGGUACCGGCUCAACCGGGAUAGGCUCUGGAAACUGGCGGGCUAGAGAGCAGGAGAGGGCGGUGGAACUCCAUGUGUAGCGGUAAAAUGCGUAGAUAUAUGGAAGAACACCAGUGGCGAAGGCGGCCGCCUGGCCUGUUACUGACGCUGAGGCACGAAAGCGUGGGGAGCAAAUAGGAUUAGAUACCCCGGUAGUC
This 464-nucleotide ribosomal RNA is filed under the name uncultured bacterium. RNAcentral's name for it is "partial 16S ribosomal RNA". It matches the Rfam family "Bacterial small subunit ribosomal RNA", at positions 338 to 795 of the family's 1533-position model. The record is from RNAcentral.